Oncorhynchus tshawytscha (Chinook salmon) is the source of this 2008-nucleotide long non-coding RNA. Lineage: Eukaryota; Metazoa; Chordata; Actinopteri; Salmoniformes; Salmonidae. The record is from Ensembl.
UGUCCCACUUGUUGUUGAUUCUUCACAAAAAAAUACAGUUUGAUAUCUUUGUUUGAAGCCUGAAAUGUGGCAAAAGGUCGCAAAGUUCAAGGGGGCCGAAUACUUUCGCAAGGCACUGUAUGUUACUGCUAAAACCUGCUUUUGAUUGGUCUUAACUAUCCCUGUCAAAGCUGCCUGAAAUUAGCACUUUGGAUCAUGUUUUUAAGGACACACCUAAAAUAUUUCCACUCCUCCCAUCUGAGCGCAAGUGAGCUGAUAUAACACGGGUAAAUUGCAUAACCUGCCGUUGGGCCUGGAAAAUGCUAGUGCAACAGUUUUUACAUGAAGAAAUUACAAACUAUAAUGCGUUUGAAACUUUUGAUGCCUUCACGCCAGCUGAAAAUAAAGGCCUUAGUCUCUGGUAGACCCUGAAGUCCUAUUGAGUAGACCCUGAAGUCCUAUUGAGUAGACCCUGAAGUCCUAUUGAGUAGACCCUGAAGUCCUAUUGAGUAGACCCUGAAGUCCUAUUGAGUAGACCCUGAAGUCCUAUUGAGUAGACCCUGAAGUCCUAUUGAGUAGACCCUGAAGUCCUGUUGAGUAGACCCUGAAGUCCUGUUGAGUAGACCCUGAAGUCCUGUUGAGUAGACCCUGAAGUCCUGUUGAGUAGACCCUGAAGUCCUGAGUAGACCCUGAAGUCCUGUUGAGUAGACCCUGAAGUCCUGUUGAGUAGACCCUGAAGUCCUGUUGAGUAGACCCUGGAGUCCUGUUGAGUAGACCCUGGAGUCCUGUUGAGUAGUCCUGUUGAUCCUGUUGAGUAGACCCUGGAGUCCUGUUGAGUAGACCCUGGAGUCCUAUUGAGUAGACCCUGGAGUCCUAUUGAGUAGACCCUGGAGUCCUAUUGAGUAGACCCUGAAGUCCUAUUGAGUAGACCCUGAAGUCCUAUUGAGUAAAAUAAUCUGCACUUUGUUUGCACCCCCCUUCCAUUGUGAAAAGCAAAUGUCUCGGUAACUUGUUAGCUUUUAACUUUGUUUGCAUGUAAAUAAAUAUUUUUUUCCUAGACUCAAUGCGGUUACAAACGGCCUCCACACUUCACCACAGACCCCUCUAGUGAAUGGCAACAUUUUUGUCUUAUUGUCCCUCAGCCCCAAUGUUGGCAGAUAGGAGAGGUUACAGCAAUGGGACGGGGUCAUGGGUUCAUUAUACUUCAAACAGAGUCAUUAGGCUGUUCGCUAAAAUCUAUCCUUUUGUAGCAGAAACAGCUUGAGCGGGGCAAACCACGCUUUUCACCAAUAUCCCACAGUCUGAACCAGGGCUAGACCUGCCAGUGGGCCAGCAACAGUCCAAACCUUAAUCCACUGUGACAUCAAUUAAGAAUAAUCUCAUCACUUUUAGAGAUUGGGCUUGUCAAAGCUUUAAUUAAGUUCUCUCGGUGUCUCUCCUAUAUAGUGCAGACAAGAUCAACAACACAUUAUGGUAUAGUGAUGGACUUUAGAAUCCCAGAGGCGAUUUGUGUGGAUGUCACUUUUAACCUGGUGUGAACUUGGGUCUCUGGAGAAAUCUUCUAUAUUAGUUUACAGUUGGAAAAUUUAUAUGUUCAGCUCCUUAUUGAUUUAAAUGACUUCCAAUAGUAGUCGGAAUGAACGAUCAAUAUGAUGGCAUUUUGAGCUUUGUUUUGUUGUGACUUAGAAAUGUUGUAGAUUCCGAUGAUUCUCUGUAAAGGUACUACAGUGGGGUCUGAAAUUAUUGACACUUGAUAAAUAUGCAAAAAUGACUGUAAAAUAAAUUAUUCAAAUACUGAGCUAUAUUGUAUGCUCCAAAAAAUUGGGAAAUCUUAUUUUUUUUUUGGUGGAUUUGGUCUUGAAAUGAGAAGACACAAGCUGAAAAUAACCCCAUCUCUACUGUCAAAUAUGGUGGUAGCUCUGAUGUUAUGAGCUAUUUUUCUUCCACUGGUCCAGGGUCCCUUGUUAAAGUCAACGGCAUCAUGAACUCUACCAAGUAACAGGACAUUUUAGCCAAAAACCUGGUUGCC